GGGGGCAUAGCUCAGUUGGGAGAGCAACAGACUGAAGUUACUCCAUCUGGAGAGUCUUCUGGAGGUCCCGCGUUCAAUCCGCGGUGCCCCCA
Molecule: non-coding RNA, 92 nt
Organism: Pluteus cervinus
Lineage: Eukaryota; Fungi; Basidiomycota; Agaricomycetes; Agaricales; Pluteaceae
Source: the annotation of a GenBank genome assembly